AACGAACGCUGGCGGCAUGCCUAACACAUGCAAGUCGAACGAGACCUUCGGGUUUAGUGGCGCACGGGUGCGUAAAGCGUGGGAACAUGCCCUUAGGUUCGGAAUAAAUCCCUGAAAGGGGUCCUAAUACCGGAUAAUGUCUUCGGACCAUAGAUUUAUCGCCUUUGGAUGGGCUCGCGUUGGAUUAGCUAGUUGGUAGGGUAAAAGCCUGACAAGGCGACGAUCCAUAGCUGGUCUGAGAGGAUGAUCAGCCACACUGGGACUGAGGCACGGCCCAGACUCCUACGGGAGGCAGCAGUAGGUAAUAUUGGAGGAUGGGCGAAAGCCUGAUCCAGCAAUGCCGCGUGAGUGAGGAAGGCCUUAGGGAUGUAAAGCUCUUUUACCCGGGAUGAUAAUGACAGUACCGGGAGAAUAAGCUCCGGCUAACUCCGUG
RNAcentral lists this ribosomal RNA (433 nucleotides) under uncultured bacterium. Its description in RNAcentral is "partial 16S ribosomal RNA". It matches the Rfam family "Bacterial small subunit ribosomal RNA", at positions 29 to 507 of the family's 1533-position model. The record is from RNAcentral.